GCCAGCAGCCAUAUCACCCUGUAACUUGCAACUGGCAACCCACUGAAGCUAAGCAGGUGUGAGCCUGGUCAGUACCUGGAUGGGAGACCUCCUGGGAAAAACUAAGGUUGCUGCUGGAA
Molecule: ribosomal RNA, 119 nt
Filed under: Lepisosteus oculatus (spotted gar)
Lineage: Eukaryota; Metazoa; Chordata; Actinopteri; Semionotiformes; Lepisosteidae
Source: RNAcentral